Molecule: ribosomal RNA, 303 nt
Filed under: uncultured bacterium
Lineage: Bacteria
Description: bacterial SSU rRNA
Rfam family: Bacterial small subunit ribosomal RNA
Source: RNAcentral
GCCAGAGGACGAGCCUGCGGCCCAUCAGCUAGUUGGCGAGGUAACGGCUCACCAAGGCGAAGACGGGUAGCUGGUCUGAGAGGAUGAUCAGCCACACUGGAACUGAGACACGGUCCAGACUCCUACCGGGAGGGCAGCAGUGGGGAAGUAUUGCGCAAUGGGCGGAAAGACCUGACGCAGCCACGCCGCGUGAGCGAUGAAGGCCUUCGGGUCGGUAAAGACUCUGUGGGGAGGAGAAAGAAUAAAGCCUGUGAAGAGCAGGCCUUGACGGUAUCUCCUUAGCAAGCACCGGCUAACUCCGUG